CCUCCCUUCCUGGGCUGGUCCUUCUGUGCUAAGCUGGCCCGGGGCCAGGCUGCUCCCCGAGAGAUGUACAAGCCACUGGGGCUUGUGCUCAGUGACAUUCACAAAGAUUUAAAAAAAAAAAACUACCAGCUUUGUGGGGGACUGGGCUGACCUCCCACUUCCUGAAUUGAUCACGAUUUUCGCUUUCCAGACAUCCUCUUCCUGAAAUGGAUGAGUGUUCCACCCCACAGCAGCAAACAUUAUAUCGGGAGUACUGGGGGUAGAACCCAGAGACUUGAACACACUCAGUCAUCAAGCAGCACUUCAUUUAAAGACAAGAGUGAGUUGAAGCUGUUAUUUGUAACCUCAGCCAUGCCUCAGAACGAUGAGAAGAAUCAGAAGUGCUGACAGCUUGGGAUGCAAGCUAGUAUUGGAAGAGUUUAUAAAUGGUAACAUUGAACAUCCAGUGGCAGGUGAGUAGCAUUGGCAGAUGCCAAGGGGAGUAAGUGCAGGAAUCUGUCCCCAGGUAGGAGGCUCGUUGGCUGCCUUUCUCAAGCAUUAAGACUCUCUAGUGAUAGUGUACUGUGAGUGCCACUCACUGAAGUCCUAUAUCCAUACAAGGAGGCCAAACAAGAACCCUGUUGAAGGCUUUCCAGCAAAUUGGCAUCUUGGCCAGAUUGACAUAACAAGACAUGUCACCCAACAGCACUUGGGAAUAGGAACUGGAGUCAUGAUGGGCAGGAAAGGCCAACAGAUCCCAAGGGGUUGGAGAUUCAUCGGUGACUCUGAAGAAUCAUUUGGUCCAAUGGUUUUGUAGCUUCAUUGCCAGAUCUAAUAACCCCCUUUGAGGGCAGGACCCCAUCUCUACUCUGCAAACCUUUCCCCAGUCUAUGGUGUCAAUGAGCAUCAAGUUUUCAUUAAUAAAAAACAGAAGAAACCAUCAACUCUAUCAGAGGUUGCUGAAGAAAAGGUGACAUUCAGUGUAAGCAGCAUUGAGAAUCUGAACACUGGGCUAUUCCUGUCACCCUGGGGAGCCAGGCAACCUCCAGGUACCAAAUGUUCUCUUUUGGGGACUCCCAUUCAUCAGAUGGAUUUGCCAGAGCCAUGUGUUGGCAAAGCUAUUUUUUGAGGUAGUCAAUAGUAUCUUUAACCCUGGAAAUUCCAAUCCUAUUUCAUGUUUGAAAAGACUUUUUGGUAAUUAUUUUAAUGAAUGCUCAGAACUACUUGAUGAUGUGGACACAUUCCUCAAUUGCUUUGGGGGAAAUUUCAUGUAACCUGGUGCUUGAGUGUAGCAGUUCUAUACUUCUGUCAAUAGAAUGAUGUGGCCUCUCUGUGGGCACUCUUCACCAUGCUUAGCUUGAUGAACACAUGAGUAAUAAGCCAAUGCUUACAUUCCAGGACCCAAAGAGAUUUGAAUUCAAAAUGCAAAGCUUUUACCUUAAAGAAAUGAUUGAUUUGCCUGAGACUCUCCAUAUCUGUUUCUCUCAUUCUGUGCAUUUGUAGGUGUGUGUGUGUGUGUGUGCGCGAGUGUGUUUGUGAUUUGGCUUUCAAACAUACUCUGCACUUCAUAGAUUCUUCUAAUACUCAGGACGGCAUGCUAGAAAUAGUUAUACGUGGUCACUGAUGAUUUCCAGUAGGAUUUAUGAAAAGACAACUUGUAAAAUGGUAUGUGAAUAGAGGCAGGCCAUCGUAAAGGAGUAAAAUGGAUCAUAAAAAUUUUCUUACUUCAUUUACAUAAAACUGAAAGAAGAUUCUUUUCUGGUUUUAUCAUAAUGAAGAGACGUGUAAAAGGCUCAGUGUGGUAUUCUUCUGGGUUCAUUGAAAUAUUAUACUCCGGCACAUUUUAUAACAUCGAAUAAAAGAAUCUCUUCACUGCGGAUGUGAAUACAUUCAUGCCAUCUGUACCAGCAUGCAGACAUUCCGAGACGUGCUUGCUUAAGCAAUUUUAUUCACAUAUGAACAUUACACUGCAUCUUGCAGACCUAGGUCCUCUAGGUCAGUCGCUCAAUGUGGUUUCAUGAUAAGGUCUAGAGAUGUGUUUCAAGUGAAAUGGAUGAGGGUGCCACUGGUGGUAUCACAGGGCAGGCCACCUAAUAGUCUAUGGUAAGAGAAAAGAUAGCAAAUGUAUAAAACAGGGACAUAGCCAUUACCACUGUCAAGUCACUACAUAUUUCACAUAAUUAUGUUCUCUUUAUACAAUGGCUGAGACAAUUCACUUAUAACAUCAGCAUCAUCGCUAAUCCAUGAACGAUGUAGAAAUGUGACCUUAUGCAGG
This 2254-nucleotide long non-coding RNA is filed under the name Cricetulus griseus (Chinese hamster). Its description in RNAcentral is "lncRNA (ENSCGRG00015024363.2)". Lineage: Eukaryota; Metazoa; Chordata; Mammalia; Rodentia; Cricetidae. The record is from RNAcentral.